AGCGGCAAGAGCUCAAAUUUGAAAUCUGGCUCCCCACGGGGGUCCGAGUUGUAAUUGGGAGAGGAUGCUUCGGGACCGGUCCCCGUCUAAGUGCCCUGGAACGGGCUGUCAUAGAGGGUGAGAAUCCCGUCUGGGAUGGGUGGCCGGCUUUUGUGUGAAGCUCCUUCGACGAGUCGAGUUGUUUGGGAAUGCAGCUCUAAAUGGGUGGUAAAUUUCAUCUAAAGCUAAAUAUUGGCCGGAGACCGAUAGCGCACAAGUAGAGUGAUCGAAAGAUGAAAAGCACUUUGGAAAGAGAGUUCAACAGCACGUGAAAUUGUUGAAAGGGAAGCGCUUGCAACCAGACUCGCGCGGGGAGGUUCAACUGGCACUUGUGCCGGUGCAUUCCCCCCCGCGCGGGCCAGCGUCGGUUGGGACGGUCGGUCAAAGGCCCCCGGAAGGUAUCACCCCUCGGGGUGUCUUAUAGCCGGGGGUGCCAUGCGGCCAGUCUCGACCGAGGAACGCGCUUCGGCUCGGACGCUGGCGUAAUGGUUGUAAGCGGCCCGUCUUGAA
RNAcentral lists this ribosomal RNA (549 nucleotides) under uncultured fungus. RNAcentral's name for it is "eukaryotic LSU rRNA". It matches the Rfam family "Eukaryotic large subunit ribosomal RNA", at positions 97 to 658 of the family's 3401-position model. The record is from RNAcentral. Lineage: Eukaryota; Fungi.